Molecule: ribosomal RNA, 445 nt
Filed under: uncultured Candidatus Odyssella sp.
Lineage: Bacteria; Pseudomonadati; Pseudomonadota; Alphaproteobacteria; Holosporales; Candidatus Paracaedibacteraceae
Description: bacterial SSU rRNA
Rfam family: Bacterial small subunit ribosomal RNA
Source: RNAcentral
AGAGUUUGAUCAUGGCUCAGAACGAACGCUGGCGGCAUGCCUAACACAUGCAAGUCGAACGGGAUCCUGGCUUCGGCCAGGUGAGAGUGGCGGACGGGUGAGUAACGCGCGGGAACCUGCCCAGUGGUGGGGGAUAACUGCGGGAAACUGCAGCUAAUACCGCAUGAGCCCGAGAGGGGAAAGAUUUAUCGCCAUUGGAGGGGCCCGCGUUCGAUUAGGUAGUUGGUGAGGUAACGGCUCACCAAGCCUACGAUCGAUAGCUGGUCUGAGAGGAUGAUCAGCCACACUGGGACUGAGAUACGGCCCAGACUCCUACGGGAGGCAGCAGUGGGGAAUAUUGGACAAUGGGGGCAACCCUGAUCCAGCAAUGCCGCGUGAGUGAUGAAGGCCUUCGGGUUGUAAAGCUCUUUUGGCGGGGACGAUGAUGACGGUACCCGCAGAAUAG